CCAAACUUGGUCAUUUAGAGGAAGUAAAAGUCGUAACAAGGUUUCCGUAGGUGAACCUGCGGAAGGAUCAUUAACAAAUCUACACCUUACUACUAUACCUGUGCAAACGUUCGCGUCGCUGGGGCCAGGCCGUGAAGGGCCAGGGUGCCAGCGAUCGCACCUCUACACACUCUGGUUGUUGGAUGUAACACAUACAUAAUGAUCGACAACUUUUAACAAUGGAUCUCUUGGCUCUUGCAUCGAUGAAGAACGCAGC
Molecule: unclassified non-coding RNA, 256 nt
Filed under: uncultured fungus
Lineage: Eukaryota; Fungi
Description: partial contains small subunit ribosomal RNA, internal transcribed spacer 1, and 5.8S ribosomal RNA
Rfam family: Eukaryotic small subunit ribosomal RNA (bases 1-73)
Source: RNAcentral